This 497-nucleotide ribosomal RNA is filed under the name uncultured bacterium. RNAcentral describes it as "partial 16S ribosomal RNA". It matches the Rfam family "Bacterial small subunit ribosomal RNA", at positions 28 to 507 of the family's 1533-position model. The record is from RNAcentral.
GAUGAACGCUGGCGGCGUGCCUAAUACAUGCAAGUCGAGCGAACAGACGGGGAGCUUGCUCCUCUGACGUUAGCGGCGGACGGGUGAGUAACACGUGGAUAACCUACCUAUAAGACUGGGAUAACUUCGGGAAACCGGAGCUAAUACCGGAUAAUAUAUUGAACCGCAUGGUUCAAUAGUGAAAGACGGUUUUGCUGUCACUUAUAGAUGGAUCCGCGCCGCAUUAGCUAGUUGGUAAGGUAACGGCUUACCAAGGCAACGAUGCGUAGCCGACCUGAGAGGGUGAUCGGCCACACUGGAACUGAGACACGGUCCAGACUCCUACGGGAGGCAGCAGUAGGGAAUCUUCCGCAAAGGGCGAAAGCUUGACGGAGCAACGCCGCGUGAGUGAUGAAGGUCUUCGGAUCGUAAAACUCUGUUAUUAGGGAAGAACAAAUGUGUAAGUAACUAUGCACGUCUUGACGGUACCUAAUCAGAAAGCCACGGCUAACUACGUG